This 253-nucleotide ribosomal RNA is filed under the name uncultured bacterium. Its description in RNAcentral is "partial 16S ribosomal RNA". It matches the Rfam family "Bacterial small subunit ribosomal RNA", at positions 524 to 776 of the family's 1533-position model. The record is from RNAcentral.
UACGGAGGGUGCAAGCGUUAUUCGGAAUUACUGGGCGUAAAGAGCGCGUAGGUGGCUUAUUAAGUCUGAUGUGAAAUCCCUGGACUCAAUCUAGGAAGUGCAUUGGAUACUGAUAAGCUAGAGUGCAGGAGAGGAGAGCGGAAUUCCAGGUGUAGAGGUGAAAUUCGUAGAUAUCUGGAGGAACAACAGAGGCGAAGGCGGCUCUCUGGACUGUAACUGACACUGAGGCGCGACAGCGUGGGGAGCAAACAGG